This 484-nucleotide ribosomal RNA is filed under the name uncultured bacterium. RNAcentral describes it as "partial 16S ribosomal RNA". It matches the Rfam family "Bacterial small subunit ribosomal RNA", at positions 29 to 523 of the family's 1533-position model. The record is from RNAcentral.
AGUGAACGCUGGCGGCGUGCUUAACACAUGCAAGUCGAACGAGCACGGAUUAUAGCUUGCUAUAAGUGUCAGCUAAGUAGCGCACGGGUGAGUACUGUAUAGGUAAUAUGCCUCUUACGCAGGGAUAACAUAUGGAAACGUUUGCUAAUACCCUAUACUCCUUAUUAACAGAACUUAAUCAGGGAAAGAUUUAUUGGUAAGACAUUAGCCUGUAUUGUAUCAGUUAGUUGUUGGGGUACUGGCGUCCCAAGAAUAUGAACCAUAACUGGCUGGAGAGGAGGAUCGGUCACACUGGAACUGAGACACGGUCCAGGCUCCUACGGGAGGCAGCAGUGGGGAAUAUUGCACAAUGGACGAAAGUCUGAUGCAGCAACGCCGCGUGGAGGAUGACACAUUUCGGUGCGUAAACUCCUUUUAUAUGAGAAGAUAAUGACGGUAUUAUAUGAAUAAGCACCGGCUAACUCCGUGCCAGCCGCCGCGGUAA